UUAUCCUCAUAGGAUUGCUGUAAGGAAAGGGUCCAUGUAGAACACACAGCAUAGUGUCUGGCAUGUAGUGAACAUGUGAUAAACCUUUACUUUAUUAUUGAUUAUUGUUAUUAUUAGUGCUAGGGAUAUUUUAAAUAGCACUUUUGGGGAUAAAAUGGAUAAAAGGUAAAAACAGAUGGACCAUCUAGAAGUCAUUGCAAUGAUCACAAGGUGAUGGAAUUUAGGAAUGAGUAGAGACAGUAGUACAAGAUAUAAACAUUUCACUUACUAUGAGAAAUACAAGAAGCUAUUCUUAUUAACUUUUUAUUCUCUGUUUCUUACUUUGACCAAAAUUGGAACAACAUAUUUACUUCGCCAACAUUUCAGGUCUUAGGUAGAAGAAUAUUCACACAUCAAAGGAUUUUUAUGACUUGUUCAAGAGCUAGAUAGCCACUUCUUACAAUACAAAUUAUUUUUAAGAAUUUAAACAUCAAUUUCUGAGACAGAAUGUUCAGAGAAAUAUUAUUUAAAUGCAAAAAAAAAGCAAAAAUAAAACUUGCUUAGCAUAUGAAUAAGGGACAUGUGAAGAUGUAUUGCCCAUGGAUUCCAAUAAUUCAAGCAUUUUUAAAAGUAGUAAUUAAAUUGUAAUUUAUCUGGAAUAAGGAAUUAUUAUGAUAAUUCUAGAAUGUUCUUAAAAAGCAGACAGCCAGAAGCCUAAAGCAGUUAAAACAGGAACUUUUUAACAAAGUCUGUGUGGCUAAGAAGCAAUUUUUAGAAAUUCCUUUUACUGCCAUAUAACUUGUAUUAGAAAAUUUCCUUAUUAAAAACUGACAGAAAAAAUCUUGACAAAAAACUCCAGUGGGCUGAAUUAAACCUUUAGGUAAGAAAAGAAUACAGAUGGUGGACAAUUUUAUGGCUUUUACAAUGUUCUGGUGUGAAGAAUAUUUUUGUAUCUCUUCCAGAACCCAAAUGUAGGAAUUUGUUCCAUAGAUGCUGGAAUUGCAGUUUUUGGAAUUUAGUUUUCCAACAGAAAGGAAGUAUCACGGAAUGAACAGUAAACUAGAUUUGCCUUAGGAAGACUGAUUUUUAAGUCUCAGCGUGAAAUGGCCCAUGUUGGGUCUCUUUCCCCCUCCCUAUCCCAGGAACAGAGGUUUUUCACCCCACCAGGGUUGGAACUGAGGGGAGUAUAAAAGUGCUCUGUUACCUGGUGCUGUACAAUGAAGUAUCAAUGCUCUCUGGACAUGGCAAAUGUUCCUCAUGAAGGGGCUUUCAUGUAUACUUUGAAGACUACCUUGUCAGGGACCUCUUACCUGCAAUUCCCUUAAAAUUGUGACUAUUUCCAUUCCAGCUGUUCAUUUGAAUUUUUUCUGUAGCCCCUAGGCCUUCAGUGGUCCUCUCCCAGUUUUCUUCCACUGCUCUUCUAGGUAGCCCUCCUGAACAAGGCUUAAGGCCUCCAUAUUGCUAGCAACCUCAUGCUUUCUCUCUCUCUCUAUCUAUCUCUCUCUCCCCCUCCCUCUCUGUCUCUGUCUCUAUCUCUCUGUCUUUCUCUGUCUCUCUCUCCCUGAGACAGUGAUCAUGUUGUAUUGAAAUGGUCUGUUUCCAUUCUUUCCCCAAAUAUCCUGAAAACUCUUCGAGGGAAGGCAUAGCAUCUUAUUUCUUGUAGCCUUCCUACUUACUAGAACACCCAACAGAUACUGCUCAAGUGAAUGAAAUGCCACAUUUAUACCAAGAUAUUUGAUUUUACUACCUGUACUGUGAAGAAGCCCAAGCUAGCCUUAUGGAAAGACCACAUAGAGGAGAAUUGAAGAACCCAGCCAAAAUCCAG
This 1804-nucleotide long non-coding RNA is filed under the name Homo sapiens (human). Its description in RNAcentral is "HSALNT0141918". Lineage: Eukaryota; Metazoa; Chordata; Mammalia; Primates; Hominidae. The record is from RNAcentral.